Molecule: non-coding RNA, 201 nt
Filed under: Luteococcus japonicus
Lineage: Bacteria; Bacillati; Actinomycetota; Actinomycetes; Propionibacteriales; Propionibacteriaceae
Source: RNAcentral
GCAGUUGCCACUGCAUCUGGUGGUUGGUGCAGGGAGACAACAGGGAACCCGGUGAGAAUCCGGGACUGCCCCGCAGCGGUAUGGAGGAACGACCGACGACAUCAGCACUGGCCCUUGGCUGGGAAGCGUCGUCCACUAGGAACACACCCCACUGGGUGCCCGCCUCCGAGUCCGAAUACCUGCCAGCACUCCGGGCGGCAC